Molecule: non-coding RNA, 72 nt
Organism: Podarcis lilfordi (Lilford's wall lizard)
Lineage: Eukaryota; Metazoa; Chordata; Lepidosauria; Squamata; Lacertidae
Source: the annotation of a GenBank genome assembly
ACCUUACAUAGCUCAGUCAGUAGAGCAUGGGACUUAAUCUCAGGGUCAAGAGUUCAAGCCUCAUGUUGGGCA